This 640-nucleotide ribosomal RNA is filed under the name uncultured bacterium. RNAcentral describes it as "bacterial SSU rRNA". It matches the Rfam family "Bacterial small subunit ribosomal RNA", at positions 202 to 842 of the family's 1533-position model. The record is from RNAcentral.
GAAAGAUUCAUCGGAAGAGGAUGGGCAUGCGGCGCAUUAGCUAGACGGCGGGGUAACGGCCCACCGUGGCGACGAUGCGUAGGGGUUCUGAGAGGAAGGUCCCCCACACUGGUACUGAGACACGGACCAGACUCCUACGGGAGGCAGCAGUGAGGAAUAUUGGUCAAUGGGAGAGAUCCUGAACCAGCCAAGCCGCGUGAGGGAAGACGGCCCUAUGGGUUGUAAACCUCUUUUGUCGGAGAACAAAACCCGGGACGAGUCCCGGACUGCGUGUAUCCGAAGAAAAAGCAUCGGCUAACUCCGUGCCAGCAGCCGCGGUAAUACGGAGGAUGCGAGCGUUAUCCGGAUUUAUUGGGUUUAAAGGGUGCGUAGGCGGUCUGUUAAGUCAGCGGUAAAAUUGCGGGGCUCAACCCCGUCGAGCCGUUGAAACUGGCAGACUUGAGUUGGCGAGAAGUACGCGGAAUGCGCGGUGUAGCGGUGAAAUGCAUAGAUAUCGCGCAGAACUCCGAUUGCGAAGGCAGCGUACCGGCGCCAGACUGACGCUGAGGCACGAAAGCGUGGGGAUCGAACAGGAUUAGAUACCCUGGUAGUCCACGCAGUAAACGAUGAAUGCUGGUUGUCCGGGUCGAAUGAGACCUGG